Molecule: long non-coding RNA, 221 nt
Filed under: Actinidia chinensis (golden kiwifruit)
Lineage: Eukaryota; Viridiplantae; Streptophyta; Magnoliopsida; Ericales; Actinidiaceae
Description: long non-coding RNA (ACHI_LNC009294)
Source: RNAcentral
UUGAUGGCUAAAUGCUAUGGAAUUGAAUGGUACAUGUACUGAGUGGAUCCGCCAAUAGUUCCACUAAGGACCGGAAAAGCCGAGAGCUUGGAGACGUGGAUGAGGCCGAUAACUAGUAAUGUAUCAGGAAAGACCUGGUAUGAGGUCUUUGAUGAAAUAUUGAUUCGUUGUACUACUCUGACAUUUGUUGUUGAGCCAUUAUUGAUUCGUUGAGCAUAUUC